This 731-nucleotide ribosomal RNA is filed under the name Clostridium botulinum C/D. RNAcentral describes it as "partial 23S ribosomal RNA". It matches the Rfam family "Bacterial large subunit ribosomal RNA", at positions 1073 to 1819 of the family's 2925-position model. Lineage: Bacteria; Bacillati; Bacillota; Clostridia; Eubacteriales; Clostridiaceae. The record is from RNAcentral.
AUGUGGGAUUUCUAAGACAACUAGGAUGUUGGCUUAGAAGCAGCCACUCAUUUAAAGAGUGCGUAAUAGCUCACUAGUCGAGAGAUCCUGCGCCGAAGAUGUAACGGGGCUCAAACUUACCACCGAAGCUAUGGAUGUGUACUAUGUACACGUGGUAGAGGAGCUUUCUGUACAGGUUGAAGUCAUACCGUAAGGAGUGGUGGACAGUACAGAAGUGAGAAUGCUGGCAUAAGUAGCGAAAAACAAGUGAGAAUCUUGUUGACCGAAUAUCUAAGGUUUCCUGGGGAAGGCUCGUCCUCCCAGGGUUAGUCGGGACCUAAGCCGAGGCCGAAAGGCGUAGGUGAUGGACAACUGGUUGAUAUUCCAGUACCACCAUAAUGCGUUUGACAAAUGGGAUGACGCAGGAGGAUAGGAUGUGCGCACUAUUGGAUGUGCGUCUAAGCACUUAGGGUGUUAAGUAGGCAAAUCCGCUUAACAUUAAGCCUGAGGGGUGAUGGGGAGCCUAUUUUGGCGAAGUAUCUGAUUCCACGCUGCCAAGAAAAGUCUCUAUGGAGCAAAAUGGUGCCCGUACCGCAAACCGACACAGGUAGAUGAGGAGAGAAUCCUAAGGUCGUCGGAAGAAUUAUUGCUAAGGAACUCGGCAAAUUGACCCCGUAACUUAGGGAGAAGGGGUGCCUACGAGAGUAGGCCGCAGUGAAUAGGCUCAAGCAACUGUUUAUCAAAAACACAGG